CUUGCUCAUACCGAUAGGUUUUCCUCCUCUCGGUUAUCACAUUGAAACCUUCCUUACGACUAACUUUGUCUCUUGGAAACGUUUCCAGUCCGCAUCCAACUCUUCCCGCUUUUCAGCAGCCCAAAAGCAAGCAGCUCACGUCGCGGGCGCGUUACGUGGCUCUCGGAGGGAGGCUCCGCGCGAGGCCAGAGCGACGUUUCCGGCAACGCGACCCGCACCAGGGGUUUGUGGCCUGUGUGCAGUCUCGGGGGGUACAAAUUCACUUCGCUGAUGUUUGUCACAUCUUGCCUGCUGAAGACUGAAGGAAAAUAUGCGAAAGUCUUCUUCAGCUGGAGACAACCACAGUGCAAUUGCCAUCCAUACCAGCAGGAAAAGGUGACCCAGAAAUAAGCUGUUGCCUCUGGAACAUUCACAGGACAUGACUGAAAUUUUAAUGCUGUCUGCAAAAUGGGUAUGUACCACUGAUUUAUCAUGUGUAAUGACAUUCUGUUUCCACAUAUGCCGUUUAGCUGGCUGACUGUUGUUACACAUCUAGCAAAGGUGUUCUCAUAUAUCCACAACAGCAUAGUCAAAAACACCCCAGAAACUGGAAAAAAAUGAUAAUGAGCUUUUCCAGGGAAGAAAUAAAGGGC
This 632-nucleotide long non-coding RNA is filed under the name Struthio camelus australis. Its description in RNAcentral is "lncRNA (ENSSCUG00000002199.1)". Lineage: Eukaryota; Metazoa; Chordata; Aves; Struthioniformes; Struthionidae. The record is from RNAcentral.